This is an RNA transcript of Mauremys mutica (yellowpond turtle), 2233 nucleotides long. RefSeq lists it as uncharacterized. The transcript is spliced from 4 exons. The record is from RefSeq and is a predicted model, not a curated record. Lineage: Eukaryota; Metazoa; Chordata; Testudines; Geoemydidae.
GGCACCGGGGAGAGGGCAGAAGGGGAUUGUUCCUGCAAGGCGCUGGGAUGCGGUGGGACACCCUGGCCCGCUGGCUUGAGGAUUCUCCUCCUCAGUGCGAGGGCCGGUUCUCAGACUCCAGCCAAGGGGGUCUCCAGCGCUGGCAUCCCGCCCUUUCACCUCGCUCCCUGUCACUUCGGAUGGCUCCUCGUGGUCUAAUCACGGAGUCUCUCCCACACCCGCCCGGGAGCUGUGUUUGCUGACAAGGGGUGAACUUCGGGGCUACUCAAACAGCCGGUUUGCCCAAGGAUGUAGCCCUCUGGCUGGAGACAGUCCCUCGAAACCACCCAAACGGCUUGGGAGCGAAGAGCAGGCUGGGCCAAGCCUCUCAGUCCCAACCCACACCCUCCCCAGCGGUUCCAGCCCUGGGUUCCCCGAUUCACAGCUCUGCCGCUCCCUCUCGAUCCAGAGCUCCGCACCGCUCCUGGGGCUCAGGCAGGAGGCACCUACUGCAGCUCAACUGGUAAAGCUGCUCCCUGCAGAUGCUGUCAGGAUCCCCCUUCUGGUCUCAGCCGCAGUAACAUGCAGGGCUCAGCCCAGCUGCUGCAGGGACCCCUCUGCUCGUAAAGUCUGUUCCAGGCAAGCCCCCUCGCAACGUAGGGAGGUGGGCAGGAGAGAUGCGGUCAGCUCUGCAUCUUCCCCAGCAUCCUGACAAGCCCUGACAGAGCAGCAUGUCCCCCCGCAUCACGAGCUGACUCCAGACUCAGCCCUCCCCUUCCCUUAAACCAGACAAGAAAGAGAGACACGGGACACGAAGGGUCAAAGAACUUACAAGUGGAAGGGCUUCCUCUUCCAGGCACAUUGCUAAGAACUAAAGUGUGGACGGAGGCAGAGAACAGGUGAACUGAGCUGAUGGUUGCUUUCCUGGCCAGGACGGUAACAGCAGCGUUCAGAGAGUAUUGGAUGCUGAGCAAGGAGUCUCCCGCCUUUCCCCUCCCCCAGCUGGGCCAGGGCUCACGCUGUUGGAGUGGUUGGCUUGGCAAGCCCAUUUUCCCAGGGCAGGACACCUGGCUCAGUGGGUGAACUCUCUGCUCCCCAGCCUUACGGACGUCAGGGCAGGUGGAACAGACUGUGCUUUGGGUGGAAGAAGAGGUCUGCACGGCUGGGAGCAGAAUGAGUGAAAAGGAGAGGAAGGGCGACCCAGGAGAACCAGCAGGGGGGUUCAUGGUAACACUUGGACAAUCUGAUCUCCAAAUCCCUGGCAGGUACCCACCCUACAGGGCCCCUCUGUUCAUGCCCUAUCUCCCUACUGCCUCACCUGAAAUCACACCCCCAUUCUGCACGCUCAGCCUGGUGGAGAAGGUGCACAUGGUGGGUAACAUGAGGAGUGUGCAGCCCAACCUUUGGCUUGUGUGCAGGCGGCCCCUGAGCGCCCCCCCCCCCGACAUUCAGACAGGCCAGCUCGUCCACAGAAACGUCGUCCCCAAGUACCCUCGCCUGCUGGGCUCCGUCUGUGUGGUUGACAGCUCCAAGGGUUUUCUCAUCUUCCUUAACAAUAGUAAAUACAACACAAGGAGCCGGCGCAGCAACAACCCAGAGACACAACAGCAGGUUCCUCUUCCUCCUAAGGCAAGAUGGGUUGUCAAUGGCACGUUUGCCAUUCCUGCCAUCUCCUCUGGCCUGGCCCCUGGGGGCAGCCGUGUCUUUAAACCAGAUGCAGAUGGGUCAGAACCAGUGCCCUGCCCUUGGCUCGGGAGCAAUACCCUGCCUGGUGGAUUGGUCACUUGACAGGCCAGGCUUGUUUCUAUGCCCGUCUAACGGGAGGGGGGAAAGCAGCCAGGGAAACCCAACCCCAAAGAGCUCAGCUUCUGCCAGCCUUUGCCAUUGCCAGACAGAAUCCAAACGCUGCUCCAAAGACACUAGCCCCCCCGGCCCCCAACCUCCCCCUCGAAUUCCACUCCCAGGAGAAUCUGGUCAGACCAGCAGCUGGUGGGGAAAUCAAAGAGGGAUGGAAGAUAAAGCGACCAGCCAAGUUUUGACCUUCUAGCCUCCCGUGACGAGCGGCCGCACCCCAGCGCAGGCCCAGGAUUCUCGCUUGCAGGAAGGGAAAGAAAGGAAGAAAGAAGAGAAAUCAUAGCAUAUUCUUACUGACGAUGUAUGUGUAGGGAAAGCGGGGGCUGGUUUUGCUGCUGUCAUGGAUUUCCUGAUGAUCUGAUCCCAGUCUCACCAGCAGGAACACAGCUGUGGUCAUGUG